Syngnathoides biaculeatus (alligator pipefish) is the source of this 659-nucleotide long non-coding RNA. RefSeq lists it as uncharacterized. Lineage: Eukaryota; Metazoa; Chordata; Actinopteri; Syngnathiformes; Syngnathidae. The transcript is spliced from 3 exons. The record is from RefSeq and is a predicted model, not a curated record.
UAUUAACGUAGUACAAGCUGUUGGUGACCUCUUCCUCUUAACUACAUGGUGGCCCACAUCCCACAGUCCACCCGGGCAACAUCAGCACAUCUGAGGGCUGGGGUGGAAAACACUGACGCGGCAUGGAGGUAUAACUAUCAAGCGGCAUGGUGGACUGGAGUUUUGCAUGAUCUCCCUAUUUGACACCGAUGUCCUCCCUCCAGAAGUUGGGUGUACCACGCCUCCUUCCUGAUGACGGCUGUGAUGAGCUCCAGCAUUCCCGUGACCCUUGUGAGGAUAAGCAACCAAGAAAAUGGCUGGAUGUCAGCAUUGCUGAUAAAUGCGGGUGAAUCCUGCUAGCCAAGUUUGCAAUACUGCAAUAAUGUUUUUGGUCAAAGCUUUAUUAAUAGCCGGGAACUGCAGGUGAAUUUCAGUGGGGGGGGGGGGGGGGGUUCCACAUCCCAACUCCCACUACCAAAAGUGGCAGGUUGAAAUUUGAUUGCGAACAAUUUCUGUCAGUAACCCCACUGCCAAUUGAGGCUUGCGUUUCAAUUGGCGAAUUUUUUUUUGCUUAGCACACAUUCAUUUAUCACAAUACAAAAAUGGAAAGUUGGAUGGAUUUUUCUUAAAGGAACUUUUCCGUUGAAGAGGGAUUUAUUUUUCGACUUCUUUUCUGACAC